AGCAGCCGCGGUAAUUCCAGCUCCAAUAGCGUAUAUUAAAGUUGUUGCAGUUAAAAAGCUCGUAGUUGAAUUUCGGGACCAAUUUGUUGGUCGUGCCUCGGUACGUACUGGUAUUAUUGGUUUCUCCCUUCUGAAGAACCAUGAUGCCAUUAAUUUGGUGUCGUGGGGAAUCAGGACUGUUACUUUGAAAAAAUUAGAGUGUUUAAAGCAGGCAUACGCUUGAAUACAUUAGCAUGGAAUAAUGAAAUAGGACGUUUGAUUCUAUUUUGUUGGUUUCUAGGAUCGACGUAAUGAUUAAUAGGGAUAGUUGGGGGCAUUAGUAUUCAAUUGUCAGAGGUGAAAUUCUUGGAUUUAUUGAAGACUAACUACUGCGAAAGCAUUUGCCAAGGAUGUUUUCAUUAAUCAAGAACGAAAGUUAGGGGAUCGAAGACGAUCAGAUACCGUCGUAGUCUUAACCAUAAACUAUGCCGACUAGGGAUCGGAUGAUGUUAAUUUUUUAAUGACUCA
Molecule: ribosomal RNA, 507 nt
Filed under: uncultured Glomus
Lineage: Eukaryota; Fungi; Glomeromycota; Glomeromycetes; Glomerales; Glomeraceae
Also listed under: 1 other name
Description: SSU rRNA
Rfam family: Eukaryotic small subunit ribosomal RNA
Source: RNAcentral